UUCAUUCGUUCAUUCAUUCAUUCUCCUUUCAUUCCCUUAUGUCUCCAAUCAUUUGAAAAAUGCAUUUAUAUAAGUAAAACCCUCAUUCAUUCAUUCGUUCAUUCAUUCAUUCACCCCGUCCCUGGCUUUUGGCCAGGCUCCACCAACCUACAAGGUAAUACUCGAGUAUACCGAAACGUUCACCCAAGUUCCUAAUCGCCCGACCGAGUCCGCUUCUGGCUCGAGACGACCGGUAACAAGGGGCAAUGGCCAGUUCAGCCCAAAGGCUUACAUUCAUGCACAAAUAACAUUUCAAUCGUUCAAUCAUUGAAACUUUCACAAUCAUUUAGGCCGAGUGCGAUAAAGUACACACUUGCCUCAAAAACUCGUUUUAGCAAUUGUUGAAAGCAUUUAACAUUUAUCAAUCAUUCAUACAAGCCAUACCAUCAUGAAACAUAACAAACAAGGAACACUCACCUAAUUACGCAAAAUAACGUGCAAAAUAUUCUUCCAGAUAUUACCCUGGUCACCGAGAAAACCUAAGAUUUAACGAAAAGAAUAUUACAAGUCAUAUAGCAAAACAAGUAAGUGAAAUCAAGGAAUUCGGCUAAGUACGAGUAAAGCGAGUAAAACAGAUAAAGGUGACUUUAAAGUGAAAGGAGUCCAUUAGGGCCAGUGGAUGAAAUAACUAGGGUUGGUAAAUUAAGUACAAAACUAACUCCAAAAAGGUUAAUAAG
This 716-nucleotide long non-coding RNA is filed under the name Coffea arabica (coffee). Its description in RNAcentral is "long non-coding RNA (CARA_LNC008160)". The record is from RNAcentral. Lineage: Eukaryota; Viridiplantae; Streptophyta; Magnoliopsida; Gentianales; Rubiaceae.